Long non-coding RNA from Mauremys mutica (yellowpond turtle), 1958 nucleotides. RefSeq lists it as uncharacterized. The transcript has 3 exons. Lineage: Eukaryota; Metazoa; Chordata; Testudines; Geoemydidae. The record is from RefSeq and is a predicted model, not a curated record.
GGGCGGUGCACGAACCGGGAGCAGCGCCACGGGGCUUCCCAUUCCCCCAGAAGGCCCUAGCCUAGCUCAGCCCUGCUGGGAGGGUCGUGAAAGGCCCUUACAAUCCUCGGCCAUUGGGCAUUUCUUGUCUCCUGGGUUAAGGACACCUGCCAGUCCGUGCCUAUUUCAGUAACACAUCAAAGAGACGACAUGUUUGCGGAGGAAGUAACUAAUGCAGUUCUGCUGCUGCAUAAUCACUUAGCUGAAAAGUACUUAGACUCCAAAGUACAAUACAGCUCUCUUCCUUACACUCGUGUUCAAAAGUAAUGGCUGAUUUGCUAAGACUCCACAGUAGCUUUUAAACUCAAGUGAAACUUGUUUCUUUUGGGUGGAUACGGGCUUGGGAGUCGGGAGAUGUGAAAUCUGGGCCUUACCAUUCACUUGUACUUUAAUCUUUUGCAAUCCUGGGACUUCUGGGCUUCAGUCUCCCUAUGUGUAAAAAUAGAGGUGAUAAAAAAAAUCCAGUGUGAAUACAACUAUUAUUUUAAUGUGUGGGUUAUAUUUUUGUAAUUGAAAGCCAAAUUCAGAUCUUUUACCCCAGUGUAAAUCUGAAGUAACUUCAUUGACUGCAAGAGAGUUACUCCAGAUGGACACCGGUGUAAGUGAGCAGAAUUUGAACUAGUGUUGGUACUCAAAUACAAACAUCCAUACAGUUACCCAAAUACCUGAUGAUAGAGUUCUCAAAACACAAUCCCUGGUGCAUGCUUAUUUUUAAUACUGUAUAGAAAUUAGAGUAAAUAGUUUCUAGGAAAAACUAAUUUUUUGAAAUUUUACAUAAUUUUUCUGUUAAUUUCUAAAUACUUAUCUGACUCUGAGAUCAGACAAUUAAUACAAAGUUAGUCUUGUAUCAGAAACUAAACGUGGACAUAACUGAGAGGAAGAUCUAAUUUUAUUUUGAGUGAACAUUUGGUACAAUAACUUGCAUUUUCCUAGAAAAUGUCUAUUUUCCAUGCUUCUACUGUACUUUAUUAUACAGUAUAAUUUUCUAGGCUGGAAAGUGAUCCCUGACUAUAAUCCUUUAUUUUAUGCAUUUAAACCAUACCACACCCCAAAUUCCCCCAGGGAAUUUUCACUUGCUGAACCCAAUGGGUCUCAUUUAAUGUGGCCUCCUCUCUGCUGCUAUUGUGAAGUGAGGCAACAGCUGUCAGUGUGCCAUUUGUAGAGAUUUUUUUAAAAGUACCUGCCUGUCUCAAGGGCUAGGGCUCGACUGGUAACUUUUCAACUAGUUGUUGAAAUACCCUGAUAAAUGAGUGAUUAGUUUCAUUCCUUUAGCUGUUAGAAAGGAACUGUAGAGACCCAAAAUAAGUGAGCAGCGUGUUCCUCAUGUGCAAACCUCAAGACAAUAGAGGUGGCAUGGAAGGCAGUUCUUGAGAUGGCACAAACAGGUCCAGCGUCCUGAUGAGCAGUGGGAAUUGUGACAGUGUGUAUGGAGUGAUGAAGGAUCUUUUACACUGGGAAGAUCAAACUGAGCGGAGACAAUUUCCUGCAGAAAAUUCCUUGCUUGCAUUACUCUGGAGUCAAAGAAUAUUUUGCUUCCAUGCUGUUUCACCAGUUUAUAUAAAGGGAAUGAGUACACUAUUCCAAGGGAUGUGUUCCAGAAAGACCUGCAAAGAUUGCCCUCUGCCACCACUCUCAUUUAGACCUAUUAAUCCAGGAGGAGAACUCCUGUAGUUCCAGACCACAGGAAUGGUUGUUACUCUGAUACUUGCCACACUUGUUAAAUAUAAAGAAAAAUGUUAUGCAAGUAAUUAUGGAUCUGUUCAAUAUCAGAAUUAAACCCUUUUCUUUUGUAUCAGAUAGUAACAUGGAGUGUAUAGUUACUCUUUACAGCAUUACAACUAGCAAAAUGAAUCAGCAUCCUGCUGAUGCAUUGCUCUCCACCCACAUUAAAAAGGAGACCAGUUGUAACAGGAUUUGAU